GGCAAAAAAGCAUUUGCUUCGAAAGCCCCAUCAAGAGGAAAAUCUUUCUACUGCCAGAGGGACUCUUCUGGGAAGCCUGAGUGGAGAGAGAGAAUGGGCAAGGGGUCAUCGAUGGACCGGAGAUGGGAUGGUAGGGACGGAAACUGCAGGGUCCGCAGAAGGAACUGCUCACCGAAAGCCAACAAGCUUGCCCUGUGGAAUCCCAGAAAGGCCCAGGAACUUCGGGACAUCACUGAAGGCAGAGUGAAGAGAGUCUGCCUUAUUUCAGGAAGAGAAGACAGAGAAAUGGAGGGGAGAAAACUAUUAAAAUAAGUAAUAAGAAAACUUUCCCCAGAAGUGCGGAAUCUGAAUUUCCAGUAUAAAAGGGUCCAUUGAGCGCCAAGAACAAUGAAGGAAAAAAGGUCCCACUCAGGCCUACGUAUCAUUGUGAAAUUUCAGAACUAGAGGGAUAAAGAAAAGAUCCUAAAAGCUUCCCGAGAGAUAAAAAAGAAGAUUUUUACAAAGGAUCAGCAAUCAGAAUUGCCUCAGACUGCUCAAUAAAAACAUCAGAAGCUAGAAGAAAAUAGAGCGAGGCAUCAAAAUCCUGAGGGAAAUGAUUCCCACCUAUAAUUUCAUAUUCUGCUCAAUUAUCAAUUGAGUAUUG
RNAcentral lists this long non-coding RNA (643 nucleotides) under Pan troglodytes (chimpanzee). RNAcentral describes it as "long non-coding RNA NONPTRT003048". Lineage: Eukaryota; Metazoa; Chordata; Mammalia; Primates; Hominidae. The record is from RNAcentral.